AACGCACAUUGCGCCCUUUGGUAUUCCGAGGGGCAUGCCUGUUCGAGCGUCAUUUCAACCCUCAAGCUUCUGCUUGGUAUUGGGCUUUCAUCCAUUUCUUUAGAGGAGGAUGUGCCUAAAACUUAUAGGCGGUUUUAAUCAACUCCUUUGCGUAGUUAUUUUUUCUUUCGCUCUGGAUUUUUUGGUUUAUAACUCGCCCAAUAACCUUUUUAUUUUUCAAAGGUUUGACCUCGGAUCAGGUAGGGAUACCCGCUGAACUUAA
This 262-nucleotide unclassified non-coding RNA is filed under the name uncultured Tubeufiaceae. RNAcentral describes it as "sequence contains ITS2". Lineage: Eukaryota; Fungi; Ascomycota; Dothideomycetes; Tubeufiales; Tubeufiaceae. The record is from RNAcentral.